GAGUUUGAUCUUGGCUCAGAAUGAACGCUGGCGGCAUGCCUAACACAUGCAAGUCGAACGAAGGCUUCGGCCUUAGUGGCGCACGGGUGCGUAACGCGUGGGAAUCUGCCCCUUGGUUCGGAAUAACAGUUGGAAACGACUGCUAAUACCGGAUGAUGACGUAAGUCCAAAGAUUUAUCACCGAGGGAUGAGCCCGCGUAGGAUUAGCUAGUUGGUGUGGUAAAAGCGCACCAAGGCGACGAUCCUUAGCUGGCCUGAGAGGAUGAUCAGCCACACUGGGACUGAGACACGGCCCAGACUCCUACGGGAGGCAGCAGUGGGGAAUAUUGGACAAUGGGCGAAAGCCUGAUCCAGCAAUGCCGCGUGAGUGAUGAAGGCCUUAGGGUUGUAAAGCUCUUUUACCCGGGAUGAUAAUGACAGUACCGGGAGAAUAAGCUCCGGCUAACUCCGUGCCAGCAGCCGCCGCGGUAAU
This 472-nucleotide ribosomal RNA is filed under the name uncultured bacterium. RNAcentral describes it as "bacterial SSU rRNA". It matches the Rfam family "Bacterial small subunit ribosomal RNA", at positions 9 to 524 of the family's 1533-position model. The record is from RNAcentral.